UUAAGUCGACCGCCUGGGGAGUACGGCCGCAAGGUUAAAACUCAAAUGAAUUGACGGGGGCCCGCACAAGCGGUGGAGCAUGUGGUUUAAUUCGAUGCAACGCGAAGAACCUUACCUGGUCUUGACAUCCACGGAAGUUUUCAGAGAUGAGAAUGUGCCUUCGGGAACCGUGAGACAGGUGCUGCAUGGCUGUCGUCAGCUCGUGUUGUGAAAUGUUGGGUUAAGUCCCGCAACGAGCGCAACCCUUAUCCUUUGUUGCCAGCGGUCCGGCCGGGAACUCAAAGGAGACUGCCAGUGAUAAACUGGAGGAAGGUGGGGAUGACGUCAAGUCAUCAUGGCCCUUACGACCAGGGCUACACACGUGCUACAAUGGCGCAUACAAAGAGAAGCGACCUCGCGAGAGCAAGCGGACCUCAUAAAGUGCGUCGUAGUCCGGAUUGGAGUCUGCAACUCGACUCCAUGAAGUCGGAAUCGCUAGUAAUCGUGGAUCAGAAUGCCACGGUGAAUACGUUCCCGGGCCUUGUACACACCGCCCGUCACACCAUGGGAGUGGGUUGCAAAAGAAGUAGGUAGCUUAACCUUCGGGAGGGCGCUUACCACUUUGUGAUUCAUGACUGGGGUGAAGUCGUAACAAGGUAACCG
Molecule: ribosomal RNA, 642 nt
Filed under: Escherichia coli
Lineage: Bacteria; Pseudomonadati; Pseudomonadota; Gammaproteobacteria; Enterobacterales; Enterobacteriaceae
Also listed under: 1 other name
Description: bacterial SSU rRNA
Rfam family: Bacterial small subunit ribosomal RNA
Source: RNAcentral